UGCUGGUGUAGCACAGUUGGUAGUGCACGUCACUCGUAAUGACGGGGUCGCAGGUUCAAGUCCUGUCACCAGCAU
This 75-nucleotide transfer RNA is filed under the name Siminovitchia fortis. RNAcentral describes it as "tRNA-Thr". It matches the Rfam family "tRNA". Rfam says of the family: Transfer RNA (tRNA) molecules are approximately 80 nucleotides in length. Their secondary structure includes four short double-helical elements and three loops (D, anti-codon, and T loops). Lineage: Bacteria; Bacillati; Bacillota; Bacilli; Caryophanales; Bacillaceae. RNAcentral also lists the same sequence under 1 other name. The record is from RNAcentral.